AUUGAACGCUGGCGGCGUGCUUAACACAUGCAAGUCGAUCGGUAACAGGUGUAGCAAUACAUGCUGACGAGAGGCGGACGGGUGAGUAAUGCUUGGGAAUCUGCCUAUUAGUGGGGGACAACCCGGGGAAACUCGGGCUAAUACCGCAUACGCUCUACGGAGGAAAGCCGGGGACCGCAAGGCCUGGCGCUAAUAGAUGAGCCCAAGUCGGAUUAGCUAGUUGGUAGGGUAACGGCCUACCAAGGCGACAAUCCGUAGCUGGUCUGAGAGGACGACCAGCCACACCGGAACUGAGACACGGUCCGGACUCCUACGGGAGGCAGCAGUGGGGAAUAUUGGACAAUGGGGGCAACCCUGAUCCAGCGACGCCGCGUGGGUGAAGAAGGCCUGCGGGUUGUAAAGCCCUUCCGGUGGGGAAGAAAAGUCUCGACCUAAUACGUCGGGACCUUGACGUAACCCACUAAAGAAGCACCGGCUAACUCUGUGACAGCCGCCGCCGUAAG
RNAcentral lists this ribosomal RNA (503 nucleotides) under uncultured bacterium. RNAcentral's name for it is "bacterial SSU rRNA". It matches the Rfam family "Bacterial small subunit ribosomal RNA", at positions 29 to 524 of the family's 1533-position model. The record is from RNAcentral.